UACGAAGGGGGCUAGCGUUGCUCGGAAUCACUGGGCGUAAAGGGUGCGUAGGCGGGUUUUUAAGUCAGGGGUGAAAUCCUGGAGCUCAACUCCAGAACUGCCUUUGAUACUGAAAAUCUUGAGUCCGGGAGAGGUGAGUGGAACUGCGAGUGUAGAGGUGAAAUUCGUAGAUAUUCGCAAGAACACCAGUGGCGAAGGCGGCUCACUGGCCCGGUACUGACGCUGAGGCACGAAAGCGUGGGGAGCAAACAGG
Molecule: ribosomal RNA, 253 nt
Filed under: uncultured bacterium
Lineage: Bacteria
Description: partial 16S ribosomal RNA
Rfam family: Bacterial small subunit ribosomal RNA
Source: RNAcentral